GGGGAUGUAGCUCAGCUGGCUAGAGCGCUUGACUGGCAGUCAAGAGGUCGUGGGUUCGACUCCCAUCUUCUCCAC
This 75-nucleotide transfer RNA is filed under the name Flavobacterium suaedae. Its description in RNAcentral is "tRNA-Ala". It matches the Rfam family "tRNA". From Rfam's summary of the family: Transfer RNA (tRNA) molecules are approximately 80 nucleotides in length. Their secondary structure includes four short double-helical elements and three loops (D, anti-codon, and T loops). RNAcentral also lists the same sequence under 3 other names. The record is from RNAcentral. Lineage: Bacteria; Pseudomonadati; Bacteroidota; Flavobacteriia; Flavobacteriales; Flavobacteriaceae.